GACUCUGCCUUUGCUUGCAGUUCUCUGGCUUGAUUGAGGAGGUUCUCACUUUCAUCUUUAUGGGACUUUGGCUAAAAAAAUAAACUGUCAAAGGAACUGGCAUUUGCUGACUGGACUACAGCACAUCUCGAAGAAUCUGCAGACUGAAACCUUCAAGGCAUUCAUGAAAUGGUCUUCCCUUAGUUCCCCUGCCUUUUCCACUCUUUCUGCCAUUUGGAUUUCACACUGGAAGUUCAAGAGAUGACAUCAGAAAACAGAAAAGCCAGUGGGAAAGGCAAGGAGAUUUGGAAGAGUGUUUGAAAAUUUUGGCAAUCAAGAAUAAGAAGGUCAGUAAAUUUCAGUGCAGGACCACAUAAGUCUAAAAUACUACCUACGAUUUUGCUUAAAGAUCGUGCAACUGUGUAGACGGAUGUUCCUGCAAACCCAAAGCAGGAAGCCAAGUCACCAGGCAGAACUGAUAGCAUGGGAAGUGGGUUCCCACCAGUCGCAUGCAGCUGCUCUGGUAUGGCCAUGGUGCUGGGGAUGAGUCAGAAAUCUCAGUCUUUUCUGGCUUAAAGAAAAGGAAGAAUGGAACCCAUCUUCUCCAGAUAUGUUGUUAUGGGGUAGGUGUAGGUCUAGAGACAGAAAAGAAUCACAUUUGAACAUCCUCUUAAUGCAAGAACAUUUUUAAAGAAACAAUUUUCCCUGAAUAUCCAUCAAGCCUAAUACAGUGUGACUAUCUGAGAUCAAUUAUUCUUAUCUUUACAAAGACUGGGAGUUAUACAGCAAAAGCAAUACUGUAAAAUAUGUGU
RNAcentral lists this long non-coding RNA (791 nucleotides) under Homo sapiens (human). Its description in RNAcentral is "novel transcript". Lineage: Eukaryota; Metazoa; Chordata; Mammalia; Primates; Hominidae. The record is from RNAcentral.